RNAcentral lists this ribosomal RNA (433 nucleotides) under uncultured bacterium. RNAcentral describes it as "partial 16S ribosomal RNA". It matches the Rfam family "Bacterial small subunit ribosomal RNA", at positions 29 to 507 of the family's 1533-position model. The record is from RNAcentral.
AACGAACGCUGGCGGCAUGCCUAACACAUGCAAGUCGAACGAGACCUUCGGGUCUAGUGGCGCACGGGUGCGUAACGCGUGGGAACCUGCCCUUAGGUUCGGAAUAACUCCCCGAAAGGGGUGCUAAUACCGGAUAAUGUCUUCGGACCAAAGAUUUAUCGCCUCUGGAUGGGCCCGCGUUGGAUUAGCUAGUUGGUAGGGUAAAAGCCUACCAAGGCGACGAUCCAUAGCUGGUCUGAGAGGAUGAUCAGCCACACUGGGACUGAGACACGGCCCAGACUCCUACGGGAAGCAGCAGUGGGGAAUAUUGGACAAUGGGCGAAAGCCUGAUCCAGCAAUGCCGCGUGAGUGAUGAAGGCCUUAGGGUUGUAAAGCUCUUUUACCCGGGAUGAUAAUGACAGUACCGGGAGAAUAAGCUCCGGCUAACUCCGUG